AUGAACGCUGGCGGCGUGCCUAAUACAUGCAAGUCGAGCGAACAGACGAGGAGCUUGCUCCUCUGACGUUAGCGGCGGACGGGUGAGUAACACGUGGAUAACCUACCUAUAAGACUGGGAUAACUUCGGGAAACCGGAGCUAAUACCGGAUAAUAUAUUGAACCGCAUGGUUCAAUAGUGAAAGACGGUUUUGCUGUCACUUAUAGAUGGAUCCGCGCCGCAUUAGCUAGUUGGUAAGGUAACGGCUUACCAAGGCGACGAUGCGUAGCCGACCUGAGAGGGUGAUCGGCCACACUGGAACUGAGACACGGUCCAGACUCCUACGGGAGGCAGCAGUAGGGAAUCUUCCGCAAUGGGCGAAAGCCUGACGGAGCAACGCCGCGUGAGUGAUGAAGGUCUUCGGAUCGUAAAACUCUGUUAUUAGGGAAGAACAAAUGUGUGAGUAACUAUGCACGUCUUGACGGUACCUAAUCAGAAAGCCACGGCUAACUACGUG
RNAcentral lists this ribosomal RNA (496 nucleotides) under uncultured bacterium. Its description in RNAcentral is "partial 16S ribosomal RNA". It matches the Rfam family "Bacterial small subunit ribosomal RNA", at positions 29 to 507 of the family's 1533-position model. The record is from RNAcentral.